UGCAUUAACAAGCAAAAAGGUACGCUUGUGUGACAGUAAAUCCAGGGUAAAUCACUUAGAGGAAAACACGGAAGUGUCUUGAAUAAAAGCUCGUGAUCUACACUGUUUCGCAGUUAGCAUCGUGCAUGAAAUAUACUUAGCUGUUUUUUGUUUUUUCGAUCCCUUUGAACAAGCUCAGCUCAAGCAACUUCUUUGUUUAACGCCGGCACAAGGUUCUCACACACAACAUGGAUAUUCCGUGGGUGGCCAUCAUCAUGUUAAUCUGUUAUCCAUUUUCGUCUGCAGACGAUAACGAGAAUUCCAAUCCGGAUCUUGCACCAGUACCUUUCCCGAUCUUCUCGGCCGAACCAAUGGCACAGGAUCAGUGUCGCAUGCAGUUUACUGAUAACUGUCGGUCGCGGGAAACCCUAGCCAGUAAUUGUCCUAGUAGUCCGGUAUUACAAAUCAGUUGUGACAGCAACGCCACAUCCGAAAUUCAACGAAUGGCGACGGCAUUUGCCAGGCGUCCCUUGCGAGCCGUAUGGGUCGCACUUAAUGACGGCGAACAAGUGGUGUUCCAGAAUAUCGCUCCGGUACACAAUCAGGUCAUCGGAUUCUCUUUUACAACUGUACAUCCGCUCGCGCAACUGGGAAAUUGCCUGCAUUACGCUUGUCCAAUCUGCUGGAAUUGUCCUUAGAAAACUGCUAUAGUUUGAAAUUUUGCCGUGCAGAUUUCCGGUCGUCCUUGAAAGUUCGCGUGAUCAAUUUUGUCAACACGACCAUUCAGUCACUGGAAAGAGAUACAUUUACCGAUCUUCCCGCGUUGCGGUUGCUGUCAUUGGAAGCCGGGUUAGCACGCAUGCCGUCAUUCAGCAGCGAAAUUCGAGCGCACUUAAAAGAGCUGCAUUGCGGUGAAACUUUCGAAUGGUUCCGGGAAUGCAGCAUCUGCUGAAGAGCGCACAGGAAUAUGAAGCGUACCAAAUCUAUCCUUUUCGAUGGGGCCGUGAUCCCAGGAAUAAAAGCGAUAUUUAUUUGCCCGUCGAUUGCGCAGCAAAACCGUUUCCUAGCGGAGUAGCGUCUACAGAUUUCCAACAAGAGCGAUUCUCUGUUAACGAUGACCUUUAUAUAGAAACAUGGCAGCCUGGUAACGCCAACGAUACAGAUGCGGAUGAUAGAUAUCCCGAGUUCUCUGUCGAACCCUUGUCCGCGGAAGAAUGUGCUACGCAGGAAUUAUGCGACUGCUUACGGCAUGAUUGUGGAGAGAACAGUACACGUCUCGCAUACGAAAUUUACGACUACGGCUACUGCAAUACCAGGAACGCGGGUUUAGAGCGCACCCAUCGUGCGGUAACUGCGAUGAUCCGACUACCAGUUCGACCGGUCAUAAUGAACCUUGAGGAUAGCACAUACUUCAACUACGUUCAGCGAUAUGGCGCCGAUCCGUAAGCGGAUCGUCAUAUUUCGGCUGCGCAAUUGCGUAAAAGAGCGAGCCACAGAAAGCCUUCGCAGUUUGUACUGGACAAAUCUUCUGGAGUUUAUGACUUUGAACUGCUCCGAUCUGGUUAUUAUGAAAAACGAUUUUGAGAACUCAGUGAAGCUGCGACAGAUUUUGUUCCGGAAUACAACCAUCCGGACGUCGCAGGAGGACACGUUCACGAAUUUACCGUCGCUCGUGGCACUAUCGCUGGAAUACUGUCUGAAAAAUUUACCAACAUACGAAGAGAUGACGAUCGAUUCUUUUCAGCCGGUUAUGUAUACCAAACGCACCCGUGACUAUCUUUUUCACCUGCACUGCGGCUGCGAGUUUGCCUGGUUUCGACGAUGGUGGAGCAACAAUACAGACCGAUUUACCCAAAAUAUAGCGGAAACCGGCGGAGUGUACGAUCUGUUUGCUGUUGCUUCCACCUUUAACAAGUACACUCAGGAACAAAUCCCGAUCGACUGUGCAAAGCCAAUUCCGAUUGGAGCGGCAUUUGUAAAUGCUAAUCAAAGUGAAUUUUCUGUGAACGCUUUAGAAUGCUAAGAUGCCUUCUGUUUUGAGCAUAUUGUUGCUUAAUAGAACAUACUCAUGAAUCAUAAUCAUUUAAUUGACCGGAAAU
This is a long non-coding RNA of Paramacrobiotus metropolitanus, 2078 nucleotides long. RefSeq lists it as uncharacterized. NCBI's taxonomy places the organism in Eukaryota, Metazoa, Tardigrada, Eutardigrada, Parachela, Macrobiotidae. The record is from RefSeq and is a predicted model, not a curated record. The transcript is spliced from 3 exons.